UAUCAUGUUGAAACACAGGUUACCGUACGACCAGCGAAGUUAAGCAACGUCUAGCCUGGUCAGUACCUAGAUGGGUGACCGCUUGGGAAUACCAGGUGCUGUAAG
Non-coding RNA from Acanthosepion pharaonis, 105 nucleotides. NCBI's taxonomy places the organism in Eukaryota, Metazoa, Mollusca, Cephalopoda, Sepiida, Sepiidae. The record is from the annotation of a GenBank genome assembly.